Molecule: ribosomal RNA, 433 nt
Filed under: uncultured bacterium
Lineage: Bacteria
Description: partial 16S ribosomal RNA
Rfam family: Bacterial small subunit ribosomal RNA
Source: RNAcentral
AACGAACGCUGGCGGCAUGCCUAACACAUGCAAGUCGAACGAGACCUUCGGGUCUAGUGGCGCACGGGUGCGUAACGCGUGGGAACCUGCCCUUAGGUUCGGAAUAACUCCCCGAAAGGGGUGCUAAUACCGGAUAAUGUCUUCGGACCAAAGAUUUAUCGCCUUUGGAUGGGCCCGCGUUGGAUUAGCUAGUUGGUAGGGUAAAAGCCUACCAAGGCGACGAUCCAUAGCUGGUCUGAGAGGAUGAUCAGCCACACUGGGACUGAGACACGGCCCAGACUCCUACGGGAGGCAGCAGUGGGGAAUAUUGGACAAUGGGCGAAAGCCUGAUCCAGCAAUGCCGCGUGAGUGAUGAAGGCCUUAGGGUUAUAAAGCUCUUUUACCCGGGAUGAUAAUGACAGUACCGGGAGAAUAAGCUCCGACUAACUCCGUG